RNAcentral lists this transfer RNA (73 nucleotides) under Aquisphaera giovannonii. Its description in RNAcentral is "Isosphaera-like str. OJF2 tRNA". It matches the Rfam family "tRNA". From Rfam's summary of the family: Transfer RNA (tRNA) molecules are approximately 80 nucleotides in length. Their secondary structure includes four short double-helical elements and three loops (D, anti-codon, and T loops). RNAcentral also lists the same sequence under 2 other names. Lineage: Bacteria; Pseudomonadati; Planctomycetota; Planctomycetia; Isosphaerales; Isosphaeraceae. The record is from Rfam by way of RNAcentral.
GGGCGGCUAACUCAGCGGUUAGAGUGCCAUCCUCACACGGUGGAAGUCACUGGUUCGAAUCCAGUGCCGCCCA